This 534-nucleotide long non-coding RNA is filed under the name Nicotiana tabacum (common tobacco). RNAcentral describes it as "long non-coding RNA (NTAB_LNC000612)". Lineage: Eukaryota; Viridiplantae; Streptophyta; Magnoliopsida; Solanales; Solanaceae. The record is from RNAcentral.
AAUGCAAGGCGUUUUUGUCUAAGAGGAUUCAUUGUGAUGCUUUCAAAUGUAGGAAAUUUGUUCCGGCUUUGCCACCUCCUCCGCCGCUUUCACCACCUUUGCCUGCCCCUCCUCCACCUGUUGUGGUGCCUAUAUCUCCUCCACCGCCAGUGUUUUCUCCCCCACCACCGGUUUACUCGCCACCACCGCCUCCACCACCGGUUUACUCGCCUCCACCACCUGUUUACUUGCCACCACCUCCGGUUUACUCACCUCCUCCACCGAUUUAUUCCCCACCUCCACCGAUUUACUCGCCUCCACCACCGGUGUAUUCGCCUCCACCACCGGUGUAUUCACCUCCUCCACCUAUUUAUUCGCCGCCGCCGCCACCACCGGUGUAUUCACCACCGCCACCACCACCUGUUUAUUCACCUCCUCCACCAGUUUUCUCUCCACCGCCACCAUCACCUCCUCCACCAGUUAUGUCACCACCACCGCCGACUCCAUUACCAACGCCACCUUAUUGUGUACGCUCACCGCCACCUCCACCAAAUU